CCUACGGGCGGCUGCAGUCGAGAAUUAUUCACAAUGGGGGAAACCCUGAUGGUGCGACGCCGCGUGGGGGAAUGAAGGUCUUCGGAUUGUAAACCCCUGUCAUGUGGGAGCAAAUUAAAAAGAUAGUACCACAAGAGGAAGAGACGGCUAACUCUGUGCCAGCAGCCGCGGGAAUACAGAGGUCUCAAGCGUUGUUCGGAAUCACUGGGCGUAAAGCGUGCGUAGGCUGUUUCGUAAGUCGUGUGUGAAAGGCGCGGGCUCAACCCGCGGACGGCACAUGAUACUGCGAGACUAGAGUAAUGGAGGGGGAACCGGAAUUCUCGGUGUAGCAGUGAAAUGCGUAGAUAUCGAGAGGAACACUCGUGGCGAAGGCGGGUUCCUGGACAUUAACUGACGCUGAGGCACGAAGGCCAGGGGAGCGAAAGGGAUUAGAUACCCGAGUAGUC
This 446-nucleotide ribosomal RNA is filed under the name uncultured bacterium. Its description in RNAcentral is "partial 16S ribosomal RNA". It matches the Rfam family "Bacterial small subunit ribosomal RNA", at positions 338 to 795 of the family's 1533-position model. The record is from RNAcentral.